This is a non-coding RNA of Macaca mulatta (Rhesus monkey), 342 nucleotides long. NCBI's taxonomy places the organism in Eukaryota, Metazoa, Chordata, Mammalia, Primates, Cercopithecidae. The record is from RefSeq and is a predicted model, not a curated record.
UAUGGGCAGCUCCCCACCUGACCCUGAGGUACACGCACCGGGUAGCCGUUGAGAGGCUGAAAAUAGAGGUUUGUGUCCGUGAUGCACACGUGUCCAGGAUUAGUCACCAGAGGCGUCACCAUUUCUGCUUUGCAUUCCAUGUGCAGCUUUUCAGAAAUGUUUUGGAACCUGAAAAUAUGUUUUUCAGCAAAAGAGCUGGUUGGUGGGCACAUAAUCAUGUUUGUUUUAGGAAGAUAACUUUGUGGACCAUAUGAAGAGGCUAGAGGAAUUCCAGCUGAACCAAGGAGAGCUAACGGGGGUCUCGGAAAAUGCAAUGGCAGUAAAAUGUAGAGAAACCAUUAA